Corticium candelabrum is the source of this 2429-nucleotide RNA transcript. It is a transcript of the gene named death-associated protein kinase 2-like, with no coding region annotated. The transcript is spliced from 6 exons. The record is from RefSeq and is a predicted model, not a curated record. NCBI's taxonomy places the organism in Eukaryota, Metazoa, Porifera, Homoscleromorpha, Homosclerophorida, Plakinidae.
AGCCUUCUAGAACGUCUGCAAUGACCUUGCGGUGUGAGUGGAACGAAUGUCAUUCAACAUGGGAUGGAAUUGAGUCUUUUUCUCGGCACUUUACGGAUCACGUUAAUCAACUAGAAGAUACUGAUGUUUUAGCUAAUGCUGAUAGUGGUCGUUUCGUAUGUCUUUGGUCUGACUGUCGUUGGGAAAGUGAGAACAGGUCGAAGAUGUGCCUACACGCCAGCUUCCAUCCUUACCAUUCCUACCUAAAACAUGUCGGUAGGACAACUGCAGCAGAAAGAAAACUGGGCAAUUGUACGUUGGGUGAAGCCACAGUAAACGAUAUUCCAGAUGUUCAUGAAGUUUACGCUUGCGGAUGGCGAGAUUGUAAAAGAACUUUUUACUGUCCGUAUCAGUAUUACUGCCACGUCGAAAAUCAUGCCGUUUCUGAGGAUCCCGAAGAGGGCACAACACUGUUCAAAUGUGAAUGGCAAGGUUGCUCUGUUUCAGCUAAGACUAAGUUCAAACUCAAAGAACAUUGCAAAGUUCACACACAUAAGAAGGAAGCAGCAUGUCCAACAUGUGGUGGUCUGUUUGCAAGUGCAACAAAACUGAAAGAUCACUUUGCUCGUCAGGCAUCUCUUGAUGAGGGGUGUUUUCAAUGCUCUCACUGCUUGAAGAGGCUGUCAUCAGAGAGAUUGCUAAGAGAUCACAUGAGCCAGCAUGUGAACAAGUACAAGUGUAUGAUCUGUCCAAUGACAUGUCCAUCGCCUUCAGCUUUGAAGCGACACAUGAGACACAGACACUCAGAACAGCGGCCUCACACAUGUGAUCUUUGUACCUUCAGUUGCAAGACUGGACAUGACCUGAAGCGACAUCAAGAAACUCACAGUCUUGUUAUACCUUAUCGUUGCUCAGAGUGUUCCUACACAACACGAGCACUUCAGUCCUUGAGAAAUCACUACAGAAGAGUUCAUGAAUAUGUAGACAUGAUUCAUCCUUACCAGUGUCAUGCUUGCCACAAAUGCUUUUCCAAGGGGUCUCAUUUGUCUGACCAUCUCAUUGAUAUUCACAAUUUCAGACUUCCUCCUGGUCACACCAGAUUUCGGUACCAAGAAGAUGAGAAUGGUGUUUAUCAUUUACAGACGGUUCGAUUUGAGUCAACAAACUUGAGUCAUGAGGGUGAAGUAAGUAGGGAUAGUAGGAAUGUUUUGACUCUAACUGGAACAGAAGUAGAAACCUGUCGAGCACAGGAAGUGUCACCACAAUCUUCAGACCAAUUGGUACUAUUGCAUAGACUUAUAAUGUCUGACGGUCAGGAGGCUGAAGGGAAUGUGUAUUUGAACAAAUCUACAUCCUCAAACCCUCGGUUUGGUGUAAUAAGCAUAGCUCACAGCAGUAACCCUUACUUUAGUCUGAGAGAAGACAUUCCAAGUGACAAGGAGAUUGAAAAUACUAUCAAUAAAGCCUCAAGCACUAAAAUAACACACUUAGAAGAUUAUGCUGAUCCAAGAAACUUGCAGCUGUUGUCUGAAACUUGUUGUUCAUUGGCCCAUCUUCCAGGCCAAGAAGAUGAAGAUUCCAGAUAAAACGUUUAGUUUUCUAGUUAUCAGACACAUGCUUAGCUAGAUUCAUCGCUAGGUAGAGCUCGAGGAGAGGUGUCUGUCUGUCUGUGUGUGUAUUGGUAUGUAAAAUAGUAUCUCCAUGAAAGACGAGUGCAGCGCCGCCGAAUUUGGCGAAAGUGAGAAUGUUGUCGUCUUCCGGACCUCUCCCGGGAGGACGCAAUUUCCUGCUAAUUGAACCCGCCUCCACGCGCAAAUUUCUCUGGAACGGCCCAUCGGAUCUCCGCCGAAUUUAAACUGCCCAUUCCUGACAUCGGACGGUAGAGCGGGUUUUUAUUGCCGGGAAGUCGAAAAAGGCAAGAUAUGGUUGCGAGACGAGACUUUUGAUUGCAUUAUACGGGAUCAUUAAUACAAUCAGCCCAGACAAAGAAUGGGAGCUUCAUAUAUUGAUUCUACUUUAUCGAUCUCGGAACGGGAUAUCAUUAAACGGUAUAAUUCUGAGCGAAAUUCUUCAUGAAAAUUCUGUCCGGCUGUUCAUUUUUCAGAACGAAGUAAAAAUGCACGUGAACGAGAUACUGUCAGAACCUGUAUACUCAUGGAACAACAUAACUUUGCAUACAACUUUAAAUUAAUUAAUUAAUUCUGUGAGAGAUAGUUCAUGAAUUCGUAAAAUGAUAAAUUAAUUAUCUCACAACCAAUAAUCUAAUCCGCCCGUGUCUAGCUAGAUAGGUAGAUUAGUGCGCUCAAUUUACUGGCGUGUUACGUAUAUUCGCGGGUGUAGAGUAGGAUCAGGAUACUUGUAUGGAAGUGUUCCCAUCACUUUCCCACGUUGUGUUUGGACACGACACUGUACGCUCUCUUGACAUUCACAGCUUGAAAUUUGCUAAUUUG